GGCGCCGGCGCUCCAGACCGGGCGGGGCGGGGCUGGAGUUGCUAGGAGACCGGCAGCGGGCGUCCGCCUCCGCGGCGCGGUCUCCUGGCUUCCACCCUUCACCUACUUCAGCCUGGCGGAGACUGAGACGGAUCCAUGUCUUGACAUCAACCAGGAGCCGUGCAAAGUACUUUGUAUACGUCAUCUCAUUUUUUUUUUUUUUAAACCCUGUGAUAUGGAGGCUGCCUCUUGGCUAGACCUCAUUCCCUCGGCUGUACAAGCACGCAUACCCCACACCAACUGGGACAUGCUGUCUGGAACAAGGUCUGACAUGAGGAUUGAGAACUUGAAAUCAGAGACGUCCAAAAUACCUUUGGACAAACGGUUUACACUGGGAAGUAUCGCUGAUAAUUUGCAGAUGUCCCUGUCUGUAAAGUACUACUGGAACCACAAGAAACUCUGAAUUCCUAGUAAAGAAAGAAAAUUGAAA
Molecule: long non-coding RNA, 469 nt
Organism: Peromyscus maniculatus bairdii (prairie deer mouse)
Lineage: Eukaryota; Metazoa; Chordata; Mammalia; Rodentia; Cricetidae
Source: RefSeq, a predicted model, not a curated record